Molecule: ribosomal RNA, 1489 nt
Filed under: Lactobacillus helveticus
Lineage: Bacteria; Bacillati; Bacillota; Bacilli; Lactobacillales; Lactobacillaceae
Description: bacterial SSU rRNA
Rfam family: Bacterial small subunit ribosomal RNA
Source: RNAcentral
GACGAACGCUGGCGGCGUGCCUAAUACAUGCAAGUCGAGCGAGCAGAACCAGCAGAUUUACUUCGGUAAUGACGCUGGGGACGCGAGCGGCGGAUGGGUGAGUAACACGUGGGGAACCUGCCCCAUAGUCUGGGAUACCACUUGGAAACAGGUGCUAAUACCGGAUAAGAAAGCAGAUCGCAUGAUCAGCUUAUAAAAGGCGGCGUAAGCUGUCGCUAUGGGAUGGCCCCGCGGUGCAUUAGCUAGUUGGUAAGGCAACGGCUUACCAAGGCAAUGAUGCAUAGCCGAGUUGAGAGACUGAACGGCCACAUUGGGACUGAGACACGGCCCAAACUCCUACGGGAGGCAGCAGUAGGGAAUCUUCCACAAUGGACGCAAGUCUGAUGGAGCAACGCCGCGUGAGUGAAGAAGGUUUUCGGAUCGUAAAGCUCUGUUGUUGGUGAAGAAGGAUAGAGGCAGUAACUGGCCUUUAUUUGACGGUAAUCAACCAGAAAGUCACGGCUAACUACGUGCCAGCAGCCGCGGUAAUACGUAGGUGGCAAGCGUUGUCCGGAUUUAUUGGGCGUAAAGCGAGCGCAGGCGGAAGAAUAAGUCUGAUGUGAAAGCCCUCGGCUUAACCGAGGAAUUGCAUCGGAAACUGUUUUUCUUGAGUGCAGAAGAGGAGAGUGGAACUCCAUGUGUAGCGGUGGAAUGCGUAGAUAUAUGGAAGAACACCAGUGGCGAAGGCGGCUCUCUGGUCUGCAACUGACGCUGAGGCUCGAAAGCAUGGGUAGCGAACAGGAUUAGAUACCCUGGUAGUCCAUGCCGUAAACGAUGAGUGCUAAGUGUUGGGAGGUUUCCGCCUCUCAGUGCUGCAGCUAACGCAUUAAGCACUCCGCCUGGGGAGUACGACCGCAAGGUUGAAACUCAAAGGAAUUGACGGGGGCCCGCACAAGCGGUGGAGCAUGUGGUUUAAUUCGAAGCAACGCGAAGAACCUUACCAGGUCUUGACAUCUAGUGCCAUCCUAAGAGAUUAGGAGUUCCCUUCGGGGACGCUAAGACAGGUGGUGCAUGGCUGUCGUCAGCUCGUGUCGUGAGAUGUUGGGUUAAGUCCCGCAACGAGCGCAACCCUUGUUAUUAGUUGCCAGCAUUAAGUUGGGCACUCUAAUGAGACUGCCGGUGACAAACCGGAGGAAGGUGGGGAUGACGUCAAGUCAUCAUGCCCCUUAUGACCUGGGCUACACACGUGCUACAAUGGGCAGUACAACGAGAAGCGAGCCUGCGAAGGCAAGCGAAUCUCUGAAAGCUGUUCUCAGUUCGGACUGCAGUCUGCAACUCGACUGCACGAAGCUGGAAUCGCUAGUAAUCGCGGAUCAGAACGCCGCGGUGAAUACGUUCCCGGGCCUUGUACACACCGCCCGUCACACCAUGGAAGUCUGCAAUGCCCAAAGCCGGUGGCCUAACCUUCGGGAAGGAGCCGUCUAAGGCAGGGCAGAUGACUGGGGUGAAG